RNAcentral lists this ribosomal RNA (1343 nucleotides) under uncultured bacterium. RNAcentral describes it as "16S ribosomal RNA". It matches the Rfam family "Bacterial small subunit ribosomal RNA", at positions 28 to 1378 of the family's 1533-position model. The record is from RNAcentral.
GACGAACGCUGGUGGCGUGCUUAACACAUGCAAGUCGAACGGAAAGGCCCUGCUUUUGUGGGGUGCUCGAGUGGCGAACGGGUGAGUAACACGUGAGUAACCUGCCCUUGACUUUGGGAUAACUUCAGGAAACUGGGGCUAAUACCGGAUAGGAGCUCCUGCUGCAUAGUGGGGGUUGGAAAGUUUCGGCGGUUGGGGAUGGACUCGCGGCUUAUCAGCUUGUUGGUGGGGUAGUGGCUUACCAAGGCUUUGACGGGUAGCCGGCCUGAGAGGGUGACCGGCCACAUUGGGACUGAGAUACGGCCCAGACUCCUACGGGAGGCAGCAGUGGGGAAUAUUGCACAAUGGGCGGAAGCCUGAUGCAGCAACGCCGCGUGCGGGAUGACGGCCUUCGGGUUGUAAACCGCUUUCGCCUGUGACGAAGCGUGAGUGACGGUAAUGGGUAAAGAAGCACCGGCUAACUACGUGCCAGCAGCCGCGGUGAUACGUAGGGUGCGAGCGUUGUCCGGAUUUAUUGGGCGUAAAGGGCUCGUAGGUGGUUGAUCGCGUCGGAAGUGUAAUCUUGGGGCUUAACCCUGAGCGUGCUUUCGAUACGGGUUGACUUGAGGAAGGUAGGGGAGAAUGGAAUUCCUGGUGGAGCGGUGGAAUGCGCAGAUAUCAGGAGGAACACCAGUGGCGAAGGCGGUUCUCUGGGCCUUUCCUGACGCUGAGGAGCGAAAGCGUGGGGAGCGAACAGGCUUAGAUACCCUGGUAGUCCACGCUGUAAACGGUGGGUACUAGGUGUGGGGUCCAUUCCACGGGUUCCGUGCCGUAGCUAACGCUUUAAGUACCCCGCCUGGGGAGUACGGCCGCAAGGCUAAAACUCAAAGGAAUUGACGGGGCCUCGCACAAGCGGCGGAGCAUGCGGAUUAAUUCGAUGCAACGCGUAGAACCUUACCUGGGUUUGACAUGGAUCGGGAGUGCUCAGAGAUGGGUGUGCCUCUUUUGGGGUCGGUUCACAGGUGGUGCAUGCCUGUCGUCAGCUCGUGUCGUGAGAUGUUGGGUUAAGUCCCGCAACGAGCGCAACCCUUGUUCACUGUUGCCAGCACGUUAUGGUGGGGACUCAGUGGAGACCGCCGGGGUCAACUCGGAGGAAGGUGGGGAUGACGUCAAGUCCUCACGUCCCUUAUGUCCAGGGCUUCACGCAUGCUACAAUGGCUGGUACAGAGAGUGGCGAGCCUGUGAGGGUGAGCGAAUCUCGGAAAGCCGGUCUCAGUUCGGAUUGGGGUCUGCAACUCGACCUCAUGAAGUCGGAGUCGCUAGUAAUCGCAGAUCAGCAACGCUGCGGUGAAUACGUUCCCGGG